This 123-nucleotide transfer RNA is filed under the name Strongylocentrotus purpuratus (purple sea urchin). It matches the Rfam family "tRNA". From Rfam's summary of the family: Transfer RNA (tRNA) molecules are approximately 80 nucleotides in length. Their secondary structure includes four short double-helical elements and three loops (D, anti-codon, and T loops). Further hydrogen bonds mediate the characteristic L-shaped molecular structure. tRNAs have two regions of fundamental functional importance: the anti-codon, which is responsible for specific mRNA codon recognition, and the 3' end, to which the tRNAs corresponding amino acid is attached (by aminoacyl-tRNA synthetases). tRNAs cope with the degeneracy of the genetic code in two manners: having more than one tRNA (with a specific anti-codon) for a particular amino acid; and 'wobble' base-pairing, i.e. permitting non-standard base-pairing at the 3rd anti-codon position. The record is from Rfam by way of RNAcentral. Lineage: Eukaryota; Metazoa; Echinodermata; Echinoidea; Camarodonta; Strongylocentrotidae.
GUCAGGAUGGCCGAGCGGUCUAAGGCGCCAGACUCAAGGUUUACUCCUUAUCUCUUAACAGAGAUGUUCUAUGGGUGUUCUGGUCUCUGUAUGGAGGCGUGGGUUCGAAUCCCACUUCUGACA